RNAcentral lists this ribosomal RNA (440 nucleotides) under uncultured bacterium. RNAcentral's name for it is "partial 16S ribosomal RNA". It matches the Rfam family "Bacterial small subunit ribosomal RNA", at positions 338 to 795 of the family's 1533-position model. The record is from RNAcentral.
CCUACGGGAGGCAGCAGUGGGGGAUAUUGCACAAUGGGGGAAACCCUGAUGCAGCGACGCCGCGUGUGGGAAGACGGUCCUAUGGAUUGUAAACCACUGUUCCCAGGGACGAAGAUGACGGUACCUGGGGAGGAAGCUCCGACUAACUACGUGCCAGCAGCCGCGGUACUACGGAGGGACCAAGCGUUGUCCGGAAUUACUGGGUGUAAAGGGAGCGUAGGCGGGAUGGCAAGUUGGGUGUUAAAUCUACCGGCUCAACUGGUAGUCGCACUCAAAACUGCUAUUCUUGAGUGAAGUAGAGGCAGGCGGAAUGCCUAGUGUAGCGGUGAAAUGCGUAGAUAUCAGGAGGAACACCAGUGGCGAAGGCGGCCUGCUGGGCUUUUACUGACGCUGAGGCUCGAAAGUGUGGGGAGCAAACAGGAUUAGAUGCCCCAGUAGUC